UAACUUUCAACAACGGAUCUCUUGGCUCUCACAUCGAUGAAGAACGCAGCGAAAUGCGAUAAGUAAUGUGAAUUGCAGAAUUCAGUGAAUCAUCGAAUCUUUGAACGCAGAUUGCGCCCUUUGGUAUUCCGAAGGGCAUGCCUGUUUGAGUGUCUUAU
This 158-nucleotide ribosomal RNA is filed under the name Dioszegia changbaiensis. RNAcentral describes it as "5.8S ribosomal RNA". It matches the Rfam family "5.8S ribosomal RNA". From Rfam's summary of the family: 5.8S ribosomal RNA (5.8S rRNA) is a component of the large subunit of the eukaryotic ribosome. It is transcribed by RNA polymerase I as part of the 45S precursor that also contains 18S and 28S rRNA. The record is from RNAcentral. Lineage: Eukaryota; Fungi; Basidiomycota; Tremellomycetes; Tremellales; Bulleribasidiaceae. RNAcentral also lists the same sequence under 2 other names.